RNAcentral lists this ribosomal RNA (470 nucleotides) under uncultured bacterium. RNAcentral describes it as "bacterial SSU rRNA". It matches the Rfam family "Bacterial small subunit ribosomal RNA", at positions 8 to 526 of the family's 1533-position model. The record is from RNAcentral.
AGAGUUUGAUCAUGGCUCAGAACGAACGCUGGCGGCAGGCUUAACACAUGCAAGUCGAACGCACCGCAAGGUGAGUGGCAGACGGGUGAGUAACGCGUGGGAACCUACCUAUCGGUUCGGAAUAACUCGGGGAAACUCGUGCUAAUACCGGAUACGCCCUUCGGGGGAAAGAUUUAUCGCCGAAUGAUGGGCCCGCGUUGGAUUAGCUAGUUGGUGGGGUAAUGGCCCACCAAGGCGACGAUCCAUAGCUGGUCUGAGAGGAUGAUCAGCCACACUGGGACUGAGACACGGCCCAGACUCCUACGGGAGGCAGCAGUGGGGAAUAUUGGACAAUGGGGGAAACCCUGAUCCAGCCAUGCCGCGUGAGUGAUGAAGGCCUUAGGGUUGUAAAGCUCUUUCGCCUGGGAAGAUAAUGACUGUACCAGGAGAAGAAGCCCCGGCUAACUUCGUGCCAGCCGCCGCGGUAAUUC